GAUGAACGCUGGCGGCGUGCCUAAUACAUGCAAGUCGAGCGAACGGACGAGAAGCUUGCUUCUCUGAUGUUAGCGGCGGACGGGUGAGUAACACGUGGAUAACCUACCUAUAAGACUGGGAUAACUUCGGGAAACCGGAGCUAAUACCGGAUAAUAUUUUGAACCGCAUGGUUCAAAAGUGAAAGACGGUCUUGCUGUCACUUAUAGAUGGAUCCGCGCCGCAUUAGCUAGUUGGUAAGGUAACGGCUUACCAAGGCAACGAUGCGUAGCCGACCUGAGAGGGUGAUCGGCCACACUGGAACUGAGACACGGUCCAGACUCCUACGGGAGGCAGCAGUAGGGAAUCUUCCGCAAUGGGCGAAAGCCUGACGGAGCAACGCCGCGUGAGUGAUGAAGGUCUUCGGAUCGUAAAACUCUGUUAUUAGGGAAGAACAAAUGUGUAAGUAACUGUGCACAUCUUGACGGUACCUAAUCAGAAAGCCACGGCUAACUACGUG
RNAcentral lists this ribosomal RNA (497 nucleotides) under uncultured bacterium. RNAcentral describes it as "partial 16S ribosomal RNA". It matches the Rfam family "Bacterial small subunit ribosomal RNA", at positions 28 to 507 of the family's 1533-position model. The record is from RNAcentral.